This is a long non-coding RNA of Photinus pyralis (common eastern firefly), 833 nucleotides long. RefSeq lists it as uncharacterized. NCBI's taxonomy places the organism in Eukaryota, Metazoa, Arthropoda, Insecta, Coleoptera, Lampyridae. The record is from RefSeq and is a predicted model, not a curated record. The transcript is spliced from 3 exons.
AUAAGUGAACAAUGUACAAGUACAAUGGCAGUAGAUUAACUAUAUCCCUGUACGUUGCAUUUAUUUCAAAUUUGCCCAUUUGUUUCCAGUUGCUCUGUAAAUUGGGAGGAACAAGGCUUCAAUGUGAAAAGCUAUAUUAUAUUUCUCUUUGUAUUUGGAUUGGUGUUGCCAUUAAUAGUAAUUGGAUUCAGCUACAUCAGCAUAAUUAUUCGACUGAAGCAACAAAACUUACAAUCCGGCCAGGUAAAGCAGUCUGAAAAACGAGUAACCAUAUCCAUAUUCGUAAUGAUCGUGGCAUUUCUAACCGCCUGGAUGCCGUACGCCGUGAUGGCUCUAGUUGCACAAUUUGGUGCAAAAAACAGCAUUACACCAGCAAUGGGAGUGAUUCCAGCCAUCCUUGCGAAAAGUAGUGUAUGUUACAACCCCGUCAUUUAUGUCGCCUUUAAUACGCAGUUUCGCCACUCAUGGAUGCAAAUGUUCUCGAAAGCGCGUCGUAGGGAUACUGGAAGGACUACAAAUGUGACAACCCUCUAAUGUUUUUAUAUUUAAAUGUAAACAUAAUGUACGAAGUAUAGUUUAUUUUUGUAAAUUUUCUUAUUUAGUAACGUUGAAUGAAAUUAUCUGAAAUGUAGCUUUUCUCUACAGAAUUGACAUACUAAAAUCUUUCAAAACAAGAUAAAUUAAUUUUUGAAAUUAAAGACAAAAAUUGUCAGACUAGUUUUAUGGGUGACGUGUUCUGUUCCGUUUCACUACCACCUCCAUUCAGCUAUAUUUUAGGGAUUUAUGUUUAAAUAGGGUAGGUAUAUUAUUAUUAUGUUAUAUCUGUAUUAUAU